UUAUUUUUUUUAAUACUAAACAGUUGUUUCAAAUCUACUUAUAUUUUGAUGUUUGUGUUAUUGGUUUCUUACUUACUUUAUUUUUUUUUCCUAACUUUCAGUUUUUUAAUUUUUUUUAAUAAUUGACCACAUUUUUUUUAUUUUUUUCUGAAGCUCAUGUAUGUAGCUGUUAAAGACACACAUAGACACACCAACCCUAAUCUCAGAUUAGGCCUUCUUCCUCCCAGAGGCAGUACGCUCUUCAAGCUGCCCUCCCCUCCAUUCUGGCCAUCGGCCUUCUUAUUAAGGAUGUUUUGGUCACUCCAAUGAACUCGAACCACAAUUCCAUAUCCGAUAUCUAACUAUACUCCGUCCUCAAGAUGUGAAGAUACGAAUCAAAUGUUCAGGAGUCUUCCCCUGAUUACAGGCGAAUAGGGCGGUGGCCGACCAUUAAAAAAAGAAAAAGAAAAUGAAGGCCAUGGCUCAACAAAGGCAACGAUAGCAUAAGGACACAAUUGAAAUUCAGAGACUUCCUUUACGUUGGCAUGAGACAGUUUUUCCGGUAAUGGCAAAUCAGCUGCUUGGCGAUUAGAGUUCUCAUUCUUUCCAUUGCUGGUUCUAUGUUCCAGUAGCUAUGCAUGCACUUGGUGUCGAUGCAAAACAUGCCGGCUCUAGAAGAUGAGCAAAAUGAUGAGAAGCACAUUCCUACUCAUAGCCAAGGAACCAAAACACCAGAAAUAUUUGUCUGCUCAAAAGCCAGCACAGAUCCAGGUGUUUCCAUCCUCUAAAGGACAGGGCGGCUUAAAGGAAGACGGGGGUACAAUGCAGCAUAUUCCAUAUGCUUCCACCUUUUGAUAAAUGCUGUUAAUGUACUUGAGUGUAUCCUUGGCUUGAAUUCC
Long non-coding RNA from Nymphaea colorata (pocket water lily), 878 nucleotides. RefSeq lists it as uncharacterized. The record is from RefSeq and is a predicted model, not a curated record. The transcript is spliced from 3 exons. NCBI's taxonomy places the organism in Eukaryota, Viridiplantae, Streptophyta, Magnoliopsida, Nymphaeales, Nymphaeaceae.